Ribosomal RNA from Gorilla gorilla gorilla (western lowland gorilla), 136 nucleotides. Lineage: Eukaryota; Metazoa; Chordata; Mammalia; Primates; Hominidae. The record is from Ensembl.
GUCUACCACCAUACCACCCUGAAUGUGCUCGAUCUUGUCUGAUCCCAGAAGCUAAGCAGGGUCGGUCCGGUCCUGCAUGGUACUUGGAUGGGAGACUACCACCCCACCUUCGGGGAAACACCAGGUGCUGUAGGCU